AUGGUCAGGGCGGCGGAGAGGGGCGGCGGGGAGGAAGGGGGGACGAAGAAGCUGACGCAGGGGCGCAAGAAGAUCCCGAUGGAGCGCAUCGAGGACGCGAACCGGCUGCAGGUCUGCUUCUCCAAGCGCCGCAAGGGCCUCGUCAAGAAGGCCUUCGAGCUCUCCGUGCUCUGCGGCGCGCAGGUGGCGCUCAUCGUCUUCUCCCCCGCCGGCAAGCCCUACACCUACGGCCACACCUCCGUCGACGCCGUCCUCGACCGCUUC
RNAcentral lists this ribosomal RNA (264 nucleotides) under Triticum aestivum (bread wheat). RNAcentral describes it as "partial small subunit ribosomal RNA". Lineage: Eukaryota; Viridiplantae; Streptophyta; Magnoliopsida; Poales; Poaceae. The record is from RNAcentral.